RNAcentral lists this long non-coding RNA (1283 nucleotides) under Marmota monax (woodchuck). The record is from RNAcentral. Lineage: Eukaryota; Metazoa; Chordata; Mammalia; Rodentia; Sciuridae.
AAAUGAGUUAUAAAUCAAACUGGGGCUGGGGAUAUAGGUCAAUUGGGAGAGUGCUUGUCUUGCAUGAAGAAGGCCCUGGGUUCAAACCCCAGCACCACCAAAAAAAAAAAAAAAUCAGAAUCAAACUGAUGUGAAUUUAAAGAAAUUAGAUCCAUAAUUAAUCAUCCACUGGAGAAAACUCUGAGGAUAAAUAAAUGUCUUCGGGGUUUUUUUAUUUUACUUUUUUUUAAGAUGGGUCUCCCUAUGUUAUCCAGGCUGGCUUCAAGCCCAUGGGCUUAAGUGAUCCUCCUGCUUUAUCCUCCACGGUAGAUGGGACCACAGGCACACUACCACGCCCAUUCUACUAAUUCUACUAAUCAUAUGAAGAAGAAAUAAUGCUUACUUUAUGAAAUCCCUUUUAAAGAAACUAAAAAUGGAAAUGCUUACCAAUUUCUUUGCUAUUCAGUUUUCCUCACCAAGAUUAGAAAACCUAACCAAAGGGUUGGGGUUAGAUUUUUCAUUCUUUGAUGAUCUCCCUUGCUCAUGAACUUUUCAUCCUGUCUCCAUCCCUUAUCCUUCAAUCUUUCAUCACAGAUGUGUUGACCUUCUUCUACUUCCAUAUGCAUAAUCUUCCUGACUACAUGGUGUCUGUCAAUACAUGACUAUUUGUGUGCUAAUUUGUACAAGAGAUUUCCUGUUGAGUCUCUGGAAGAUUUUUUUUUUUUUUAAUCUACUGAAUAAACUUCUGCCUACAUUUAAAUAAACAGUAGAGUCUUGCCUUUGAAGUUAAAUUCUUGCCUCUUGGCAUUUUCCAUUCUUCUGGGACCAGGACCCUCGUGGAUGACAGGCACGUCCCUGGGCAUGAGACUGCAACAGGAGCCAGUCUGUAUGCUGAUGUUUGGUAGUAGGAGAACCCCUGUUACUGCUUGGCUAACUGAAGUUUCUGUUCCUGUUGAAGUGGCUGCUUAAUUUAAAAAGCGACACCUUCCUCUCCGUUGUCUUCCAAAGAAAGAUUGUGCUUGGCAAUUAGGUAAAGCCUUGAGUGAUGAUAGCUGGUUGUGAGUCAAGAAGGGUUCUCAAGAUCAUUAAAUAAGCCUUGACAGUGGUAUACAGUGUGUGAUCCAUCCAGGGGCUUGACAGUCUGGAAUUUUUCUGGCAUUAAAUUGGUUUUAUAUAUUUUUUAUUUUUACAUUAUUCGCUAACAUUUCCUGAAAUUACCAUGGAAAUAUUUCAAUAUUUUAACCAUGAAGUUGUGCUCCAUUUGUGUACAAUGUGUCAAAAUGCAUUCUACUGUCAUGUAUAAC